UGGUCAUUAUCAAGGCUUUUAGAAUGCAGUCUCUCAUUUUGCUGUGCACAUGACCAAAAAGCAUUUUCCCACUAGGUUUUUUUUUCUGCUAUGUUAGCAGUGUUCAGCUUAUUUGGGAACAUUU
RNAcentral lists this small nucleolar RNA (124 nucleotides) under Myotis davidii. Its description in RNAcentral is "Small nucleolar RNA SNORA32". It matches the Rfam family "Small nucleolar RNA SNORA32". Rfam says of the family: ACA32 is a member of the H/ACA class of snoRNA that guide the sites of modification of uridines to pseudouridines. The record is from Rfam by way of RNAcentral. Lineage: Eukaryota; Metazoa; Chordata; Mammalia; Chiroptera; Vespertilionidae.